GACGAACGCUGGCGGCGUGCUUAACACAUGCAAGUCGAGCGAUGAAGUUCCUUCGGGAAUGGAUUAGCGGCGGACGGGUGAGUAACACGUGGGUAACCUGCCUCAUAGAGGGGAAUAGCCUUCCGAAGGGAAGGUUAAUACCGCAUAAGAUCGUAGUUUCGCAUGAAACAGCAAUUAAAGGAGUAAUCCGCUAUGAGAUGGACCCGCGUCGCAUUAGCUAGUUGGUGAGGUAACGGCUCACCAAGGGGACGAAGCGUAGCCGACCUGAGAGGGUGAUCGGCCACAUUGGGACUGAGACACGGCCCAGACUCCUACGGGAGGCAGCAGUGGGGAAUAUUGCACAAUGGGGGAAACCCUGAUGCAGCAACGCCGCGUGAGUGAUGACGGUCUUCAGAUUGUAAAACUCUGUCUUCAGGGACGAUAAUGACGGUACCUGAGGAGGAAGCCACGGCUAACUACGUGCCAGCCGCCGCGGUAA
RNAcentral lists this ribosomal RNA (478 nucleotides) under uncultured bacterium. RNAcentral describes it as "partial 16S ribosomal RNA". It matches the Rfam family "Bacterial small subunit ribosomal RNA", at positions 28 to 523 of the family's 1533-position model. The record is from RNAcentral.